Molecule: long non-coding RNA, 1723 nt
Organism: Apodemus sylvaticus (European woodmouse)
Lineage: Eukaryota; Metazoa; Chordata; Mammalia; Rodentia; Muridae
Exons: 3
Source: RefSeq, a predicted model, not a curated record
UAUCCAGCAGAAUCUUGUGUGUAUAAUUAAUAACUGUAGGAGCUAGCCCUCAAGCAGCUUUGCUUAUUUACAUAGAGUCUGCACACACAAACAUAAACACAAACAAGGGCUGCUUGAUCCAGUUGUACAGGCGAGAAAACUGAAACGCAGUGCAGCGGUGCAGAAUUACACUAAGUUUUCUGGGUUCCACGAUGCACAUCUGAAAUCACCACGCUGCCCUGCCUCUGGGUUAAUUCCUGACACAGCACAAUCUUUUUUUUUUGAGACAGGGUUUCUCUGUGUAGCCCUGGCUAUCCUGGAACGCACUCUGUAGACCAGGCUGGCCUCGAACUCAAAAAUCUGCCUGCCUCUGCCUCCCAAGUGCUGGGAUUACAGGUGUGAGCCCCAACGCCCAGCUGACACAGCACAAUUUAAAGAACUGUUUUGUCUGCGUCUUGGUGGUAGUGACCUUAAGUGGAGGGUUAGCAUUCCUUCAUAGAUGCUGACUCUCAAUCUUGCCAGAAAUCUGCUAAAUGUAAUGUUAAAACUUUAAGCUUAAUAUGAUAGACAGAGACCUCCAAAUCCUGACAGUCUACCCCCCAAGGUCUCUGAGAGGAUAUGGGCACAGCGACAAGGGUCUACCUGGAUUGUGGUAUAACCAUUGAGAAACACUGCUCCGUUGCUUUGCCUGCUGCCAGGGCUUGGCCUACACCGUGGACAAACAGAAGAUACCCAGAGAGUUAAAUGUCUCAUGUUGCCUAAGACAAGACACAGAUGCUCCUACUGGACCUGCUUCUUCCUGCCCACAGAUGGUUCCCCAGAUCCGGGACAGCAAGGAAACAGCUAAUGCUCCUAAGACUGGACCAACAGCAUCAUGCCAUUUCCCUAGGUUUCCCAGACACGUCGCCCCCCAAGCCAGCAGGAAAUUGUCUCAAUGGAGAGAGAAAUAAUCUACCCUUAUCUGAUGCAUGACAAGACACUGGGAGCAUGUGGGACUCAGCUGGCAGAAUGCUUGCCUGGCCGGCUGAAGCUCUGGGUUCCAAUGCAUGGUAGUGCACACUUCCAAUGCCAGCACCGGAGAGAGGCACGGGCUGAAUGAUCACAAGGUUCAAGGUCACCCUUAGCUACAGAGUGAGCUUCAGACCACUAUACAGUGGCUAUAUACUAUACUGUCAGACCACUGUACACAACAGGCUAUACAGUGAGACGCUAUCUCAAAAAAAAAAGAAAAAUAUAUUAUGGUAAACAAUGUUUAGCAGAGUAAAUGAUUACCACUUUAGUGUUUUUUCCAAUAUUUUAAUUUUUUAAAUAGUGGAUUCAAACCCCUAUUAAAGGGGAAAAAUAGACCCCACAAAACAGGGAAAAUCCAUGACAUUAAGUCCUGGAAACUUUAUUGUAUUUAAAAUACAUUAAAUACAUCAAAAAUGAUUUUUUUUAAAUGUACGUGAGUGCUCUAUCUGCAUGUACACCUGAAGGCCAGAAGAGGGCGUCAGAUCCCAUUACAGAUGGUUGUGAGCCACCAUGUGGUUGCUAGGAAUUGAACUCAGGACCUCUGGAAGAGCAGCCAGUGCUCUUAACCACUAAGCCACCUCUUCAGCCCUACAUUGUAUUCUUUGCAAUGGUAUCAUUAAGAUAGCAUAUAUACAUUUGCCAAAUUAGCUUUGAAGGUUAUUGGUAUAGAACUUCAUAGAGUCAUUAGUUCACCUAGUUUAUAAGCACUACAGCUAUUGGGGGAGCCUGUGAA